CGUGCCUAAUACAUGCAAGUCGAGCGAGCUGAACCAACAGAUUCACUUCUGAUAUGACUUUGGGAACCUGAGUGGCGGACGGGUGAGUAACGCGUGGGCAACCUGCCUUAUACAGGGGGAUAACAGUUAGAAAUGACUGCUAAAACCGCAUAAGACCACGGGAUCGCAUGAUACAGUGGUAAAAACUCCGGUGGUAUAAGAUGGGCCCGCGUCUGAUUAGCUGGUUGGUGAGGUAACGGCUCUACCAAGGCAACGAUCAGUAGCCGGCUUGAGAGAGUGGACGGCCACAUUGGGACUGAGACACGGCCCAGACUCCUACGGGAGGCAGCAGUGGGGAAUAUUGCACAAUGGGGGGAACCCUGAUGCAGCGACGCCGCGUGAGUGAAGAAGUACUUCGGUAUGUAAAGUUCUAUCAGCAGGGAAGAAAAUGACGGUACCUGACUAAGAAGCCCCGGCUAACUACGUGCCAGCAGCCGCGGUAA
Molecule: ribosomal RNA, 482 nt
Filed under: uncultured bacterium
Lineage: Bacteria
Description: bacterial SSU rRNA
Rfam family: Bacterial small subunit ribosomal RNA
Source: RNAcentral